GCAGUAAAGAAAACUUUGGCUGGGUUGGUUUUGGUGGAUUGUUUUAUAUUUAGAUAGCUACACAAUCUUCGCCAUGGCCAUGUAGAUUGGGAAUAUGAAUGUGAUUAGAUGUUGUAGUAUUUCGGAAUGGGGUAAAAUUAAUUGGGGAAGUGAUCAUGCUUAUGGUUGAGGGAGACCUUUUUAGCACGCUUGGAUGGAUGUCAUAAUGGGGAUCCUCUUUGGUGGUUGUUCUUUAGAUAUCAUGAAAUCAAGCAAAAUUCUUAUUGGUCGGCUUUCUCAUGUUUGAUAUCAAGCAAACUCUUUGUAUGAUAAGUUAGCUACUUAUGGCAUUAAAUGUACUACUCCGGAAACACAUUUGAUGUGUAAUAUAUCCUAUAAGUUGUUCUGACCUAUUCUUCUAUGUUUUCUUCUUAUUCAGAAGUAUGCUUUUCGCUUUUCAAACAAACUCAUUCAUUGUAUACAUGAUUCACGUCACAAAAAGCGCGUUCUUACUAAUUACUUCUUUAUUCAUGCAAUAUCCACUGAUGAGGAAAUCUACAUCAAAAGAUUCAGGCACCAUUCUCAAAAGUUCUACUUUAAUAUCAUUCUCAUUGCCUUCAUUAUCUUGAUUGUUGAUUGCCAGAUUGAGCUUGUAAAAAUGUCGUUGGCGGAGGGACAAAGUCAUCUUUUUGCACAUUGGCCUGAACAAGGUGUUGAUGAUGAAGAAAAGAGAAGUUUCUUUGAUCAGCUGCUGUAUCCUGGAAAAAUUAAAUGGUCUCUGAUUAUUUUCAAGUCCAAGCAACAAAAGUUUAACAUCGGUUUCAACUUUUAACCUUCCAUUUUCCUCACUCAAAUAUUUAUAUUUGUUAUUAUUAUGAUUAUUUUGAAAUUUAUCUUUGGAAGCCUUGCUGACCACAAAUUUCUGGUAGAAGACCAAACUGAUUUUGAUGGGUUUCUGGAAACCUACAUUGCUUUGUACCUAUCAGCUAGAUUGUUAAUGCUCUUCACAUAUCUGUUUGUUAAUGUGAAGUAGCUCUUUUCUCUAGGUAACUCAGCUUAAUUCAAGCUAUCCAGGUGGUUUGACAUCAUAUAUUCGAAAUGCUAGGAAUAUAUUAGCAGAUUCAAAAGCAGGGAAAAAUCUAUUUGAUGGCUUUACUCCUUCGAUAAGUGAAUCCAUUAUUUUUGUUUUGCAAUCUGUGAUUCUUU
Molecule: long non-coding RNA, 1185 nt
Organism: Magnolia sinica
Lineage: Eukaryota; Viridiplantae; Streptophyta; Magnoliopsida; Magnoliales; Magnoliaceae
Exons: 2
Source: RefSeq, a predicted model, not a curated record